UACGUAGGGUCCGAGCGUUGUCCGGAAUUACUGGGCGUAAAGAGCUCGUAGGUGGUUUGUCGCGUUGUUCGUGAAAACUCACAGCUCAACUGUGGGCGUGCGGGCGAUACGGGCAGACUUGAGUACUGCAGGGGAGACUGGAAUUCCUGGUGUAGCGGUGGAAUGCGCAGAUAUCAGGAGGAACACCGGUGGCGAAGGCGGCUCUCUGGAACGGUACUGACGCUGAGACGCGAAAGCGUGGGGAGCGAACAGG
Molecule: ribosomal RNA, 253 nt
Filed under: uncultured bacterium
Lineage: Bacteria
Description: partial 16S ribosomal RNA
Rfam family: Bacterial small subunit ribosomal RNA
Source: RNAcentral